GGGGCCCGCACAAGCGGUGAGCAUGUGGUUUAAUUCGAAGCAACGCGAAGAACCUUACCAGGUCUUGACAUCCCGAUGCUAUUUCUAGAGAUAGAAAGUUACUUCGGUACAUCGGUGACAGGUGGUGCAUGGUUGUCGUCAGCUCGUGUCGUGAGAUGUUGGGUUAAGUCCCGCAACGAGCGCAACCCCUAUCGUUAGUUGCCAUCAUUCAGUUGGGCACUCUAAGGUGACUGCCGGCUAAAAGUCGGAGGAAGUGGGGAUGACGUCAAAUCAUCAUGCCCCUUAUGACCUGGGCUACACACGUGCUACAAUGGGCGGUACAAAGGGUCGCGAACCCGCGAGGGGGAGCCAAUCCCAAAAAGCCGCUCUCAGUUCGGAUUGCAGGCUGCAACUCGCCUGCAUGAAGCCGGAAUCGCUAGUAAUCGCAGGUCAGCAUACUGCGGUGAAUACGUUCCCGGGCCUU
RNAcentral lists this ribosomal RNA (463 nucleotides) under uncultured Streptococcus sp. RNAcentral describes it as "bacterial SSU rRNA". It matches the Rfam family "Bacterial small subunit ribosomal RNA", at positions 916 to 1382 of the family's 1533-position model. Lineage: Bacteria; Bacillati; Bacillota; Bacilli; Lactobacillales; Streptococcaceae. The record is from RNAcentral.